Molecule: long non-coding RNA, 656 nt
Organism: Nerophis lumbriciformis (worm pipefish)
Lineage: Eukaryota; Metazoa; Chordata; Actinopteri; Syngnathiformes; Syngnathidae
Source: RefSeq, a predicted model, not a curated record
CAUUGUCACUACUACCUGUCGUGUCGUUGUUCUUAAUACUUGUCGUUGUAGCUCUGUCUACUUUUGGUUUCACUCUGCUCAUGUCCUAGUUCCUUCGUGUCACACUGAGCUCCUUCUUUACCACAACGGAUCGAUCACAUCCACAUCACUGCAGACACCGCACCGAUCCGCCUGACGAUCUCACGAUCCACUCUUCCCUCACUCGUGAGCAAGACCCCAAGCAUCCGGAAUUCUUGCCUGGCGGCUGAUACAGGCGCCUUGGACAGAGGCAAUAAAAAAAGAUGAGAGCCCUGCUGUUUUGGAAAUGCUGAAGGCGGGCGGCGGUUGCUCAUCGUUGUGGCGCCAGACAGGAAGCAGCUGCCCUGCUGUGCAGGAAGUGGACAAUAAGGGACAAAGUGGGCUUCAGGCAUCGACGACCAGACAAUAUGUGAGCGUAGGUCAGUGCGGAGACAAUAUAAAUACACUUUACUGCAGUUAACAUGUAACAUUAAGGGAAAAGCGAGAAAUUAGUAGAAUGUACGCAAAAGUAAUACACUUUAAUUAGAAGAGGUACAAUAUAAAUGUGACUUUUCGUUUCAUAAAAUCGUAUGCAACAACCACUAGAAAAUGAUGCAUUUCUUCAGCAUGUUGAUGGACAACUGUUGAAUAAAAACAAA